UACAGAGAGUGCAAGCGUUAAUCAGAAUUACUGGGCGUAAAGCGCACGUAGGUGGAUACUUAAGUCAGAUGUGAAAGUCCCGGGCUUAACCUGGGAAUUGCACCCGAUACUGGGUAUCUAGAGUAUAGUAGAGGGAAGUGGAAUUUCCGGUGUAGCGGUGAAAUGCGUAGAUAUCGGAAGGAACACCAGUGGCGAAGGCGGCUUCCUGGACUAAUACUGACACUGAGGUGCGAAAGCGUGGGGAGCAAACAGG
This 253-nucleotide ribosomal RNA is filed under the name uncultured Coxiella sp. RNAcentral describes it as "partial 16S ribosomal RNA". It matches the Rfam family "Bacterial small subunit ribosomal RNA", at positions 524 to 776 of the family's 1533-position model. Lineage: Bacteria; Pseudomonadati; Pseudomonadota; Gammaproteobacteria; Legionellales; Coxiellaceae. The record is from RNAcentral.